This 915-nucleotide long non-coding RNA is filed under the name Cottoperca gobio. Its description in RNAcentral is "lncRNA (ENSCGOG00000005228.1)". The record is from RNAcentral. Lineage: Eukaryota; Metazoa; Chordata; Actinopteri; Perciformes; Bovichtidae.
AUUAGCUGUGCCCUGCAAACAUCAUUAGGAAGGGAGACGCUUUCCACCGUCAGCGCCGGAGCAGAGCAGGGGAGCCCUGGCAACAAGGAGAGACAAACUCAGCAGCCCGUUACACCCUACAGGAAUAGUGACAGCACCUGCAGACACACAGACGUGGACAGACGGCGCAGGCACCCCGGAACGCUUCCCUCCCGCUGGUGGAGAGAUUCAGACUUCACACCAGGAACUGCAGCUCCAGUCGGUUGUCAGCUCUCCACUGAGCAGCAGGCUCCACCUACUCCGCCCAAGCAGCUCUGCCUCCUCGGCUCAGGGAGUGCUGAGUCCCUGAGUCAACACACUGCAUUCUGGGAAAGUCUGGAACCCUCUCCAUGGGCUGUACCACCUGCUGACAAACCAGGGGGGUCUGGAGGAGUUGAAUGAGGAUUGUGCUGGGUGUGGGCAGGCUUGCUUUUGCAAGGAAAUGAUUCCGCAUGAAGUGCGACGCACUCGGCCCCCCGUCGUCCUCGGCGGCAGCAGCAGGUGUGACGUCGUGACUCUCUCCCCUACCACACUGAGCUCACCCUUCAGCCGCUAAAGACCUCUGGACCAAACAGACCGCCCAACCCCUCCCCUCCCCUCCACCCCUUCAUAUCUUCAUCUCCAUCUUUAAUCCCUCCUCACCUGCUUGUUAGGGCCUGGAUUUUCUUUAUUAUCAAGAAAAGACCUGAUUAUUAUCGGCCUUGGGUGAACUGGAUAGAGAAGGAAAGAGAGAUCAGAUUUGGAAAGUUAAUUCACAGCUAAUUAAAACGAGAAAAGGGACGGAUCAUCAAAUGUGAGAAAAAGACAGGAACGUGAAAUAUAAAGUCAGAGAGAAAAAGAAAAGAAAAAGGUAUCGAAGGCCAAAAGUUAAGGAACGAUAACGCAAGUACAGUUGAG